AGAGUUUGAUCAUGGCUCAGGAUGAACGCUAGCGGCAGGCUUAAUACAUGCAAGUCGAGGGGUAACAGGGGUAGCAAUACCUGCUGACGACCGGCAAACGGGUGCGGAACACGUACGCAACCUUCCCAUAACUGGUGAAUAGCCCUCCGAAAGGAGGAUUAAUACACCGUAACAUAAUGAAAUGGCAUCAUUUUAUUAUUAUAGGCUUCGGUCGGUUUUGGAUGGGCGUGCGCCUGAUUAGGUAGUUGGCGGGGUAACGGCCCACCAAGCCUGCGAUCAGUAACUGGUGUGAGAGCACGACCAGUCACACGGGCACUGAGACACGGGCCCGACUCCUACGGGAGGCAGCAGUGAGGAAUAUUGGUCAAUGGACGAAAGUCUGAACCAGCCAUGCCGCGUGAAGGAUGAAGGCCCUCUGGGUUGUAAACUUCUUUUAUCUGGGACGAAAAAAGGGCAUUCUUGCUCACUUGACGGUACCAGAGGAAUAAGCACCGGCUAACUCCGUGCCAGCAGCCGCGGUAAUACGGAGGGUGCAAGCGUUAUCCGGAUUUACUGGGUUUAAAGGGUGCGUAGGUGGGUUGGUAAGUCAGUGGUGAAAUCUUCGAGCUUAACUCGGAAACUGCCAUUGAUACUAUUAAUCUUGAAUUAUCUGGAGGUAAGCGGAAUAUGUCAUGUAGCGGUGAAAUGCUUAGAUAUGACAUAGAACACCCAUUGCGAAGGCAGCUUACUACGGAUACAUUGACACUGAGGCGCGAAAGCGUGGGGAUCAAACAGGAUUAGAUACCCUAGUAGUCC
This 795-nucleotide ribosomal RNA is filed under the name uncultured bacterium. RNAcentral's name for it is "bacterial SSU rRNA". It matches the Rfam family "Bacterial small subunit ribosomal RNA", at positions 8 to 796 of the family's 1533-position model. The record is from RNAcentral.